Molecule: ribosomal RNA, 477 nt
Filed under: uncultured bacterium
Lineage: Bacteria
Description: bacterial SSU rRNA
Rfam family: Bacterial small subunit ribosomal RNA
Source: RNAcentral
AUUGAACGCUGGCGGCAUGCCUUACACAUGCAAGUCGAACGGUAACAGGUUAAGCUGACGAGUGGCGAACGGGUGAGUAAUGUAUCGGAACGUGCCUAGUCGUGGGGGAUAACGUAGCGAAAGCUACGCUAAUACCGCAUACGAUCCAUGGAUGAAAGCGGGGGACCUUCGGGCCUCGCGCGAUUAGAGCGGCCGAUAUCAGAUUAGGUAGUUGGUGGGGUAAAGGCCCACCAAGCCGACGAUCUGUAGCUGGUCUGAGAGGACGACCAGCCACACUGGGACUGAGACACGGCCCAGACUCCUACGGGAGGCAGCAGUGGGGAAUUUUGGACAAUGGGCGCAAGCCUGAUCCAGCAAUGCCGCGUGCAGGAUGAAGGCCUUCGGGUUGUAAACUGCUUUUGUACGGAGCGAAAAGGCUCUCUCUAAUAAAGGGGGCUCAUGACGGUACCGUAAGAAUAAGCACCGGCUAACUACGUG